Molecule: ribosomal RNA, 103 nt
Filed under: uncultured bacterium
Lineage: Bacteria
Description: partial 16S ribosomal RNA
Rfam family: Bacterial small subunit ribosomal RNA
Source: RNAcentral
UGGGGAAUAUUGCACAAUGGGGGGAAACCCCGUGAUGCAGCGACGCCGCGUGAGCGAUGAAGUAUUUCGGUAUGUAAAGCUCUAUCAGCAGGGAAGAAAAUGA